GCGGCGUUGGCUCAGUUGGAUGGAGCACCCCACUACGAAUGGGGAGGUCCGAGGUUCGAGUCCUCGACGCCGCA
This 74-nucleotide transfer RNA is filed under the name Myxococcales bacterium. RNAcentral describes it as "tRNA-Arg". It matches the Rfam family "tRNA". From Rfam's summary of the family: Transfer RNA (tRNA) molecules are approximately 80 nucleotides in length. The record is from RNAcentral. Lineage: Bacteria; Pseudomonadati; Myxococcota; Myxococcia; Myxococcales.